UUGGAGGGCAAGUCUGGUGCCAGCAGCCGCGGUAAUUCCAGCUCCAAUAGCGUAUAUUAAAGUUGCUGCAGUUAAAAAGCUCGUAGUUGAAUUUCGGGACCAUCAUGUCGGUCGUGCCUCGGUACGUACUGGUAUUGUUGGUUUCUCCCUUCUGACGAACCAUGAUGUCAUUUAUUUGGUGUUGUGGGGAAUCAGGACUGUUACUUUGAAAAAAUUAGAGUGUUUAAAGCAGGCUCACGCUUGAAUACAUUAGCAUGGAAUAAUGAAAUAGGACGUUUGAUUCUAUUUUGUUGGUUUCUAGGAUCGACGUAACGAUUAAUAGGGAUAGUUGGGGGCAUUAGUAUUCAAUUGUCAGAGGUGAAAUUCUUGGAUUUAUUGAAGACUAACUACUGCGAAAGCAUUUGCCAAGGAUGUUUUCAUUAAUCAAGAACGAAAGUUAGGGGAUCGAAGACGAUCAGAUACCGUCGUAGUCUUAACCAUAAACUAUGCCGACUAGGGAUCGGAUGAUGUUAAUUUUUUAAUGACUCAUUCGGCGCCUUACGGGAAAC
Molecule: ribosomal RNA, 548 nt
Filed under: uncultured Glomeromycotina
Lineage: Eukaryota; Fungi; Glomeromycota
Description: SSU rRNA
Rfam family: Eukaryotic small subunit ribosomal RNA
Source: RNAcentral